GAAAGAUUCCGGUUGAUCCUGCCGGGGGGUACCGCUAUUGGGAUGCGCUUAAGCCAUGUGAGUCGAGAGGUUUCGGGCCUCGGCAUACGGCUCAGUAACACGUGGAUAAUCUGACCUUGGGUGGGGGAUAAUCUCGCAAAAGUGAGCAUAACACCCCAUAGACCUAUAAUGCUGGAAUGCUUAUAGAUUGAAAGCUCCGGCGCCUAAGGAUGAGUCUACGGCUUAUCAGGUUGUAGUGGGUGUAACGAACCCACUAGCCCUCUACGAGUACGGGUCUUGAAAGAGAUUGCCCGGAGAUGGACUCUGAGACACGAGUCCAGGCCCUACGGGGCGCAGCAGGCGCGAAAACUUCGCAAUGUGGGCAACCACGACGAGGGUACCCCAAGUGCUUAUACAAUGUAUAAGCUGUUUCACUGCCUAAAAAGCAGAGAGAGUAAGGGCUGGGUAAGACGGGUGCCAGCCGCCGCGGUAAUACCCGCAGCCCAAGUGGUAUUCCGUUUUAUUGGGUCUAAAACGUCCGUAGCCGGUCCAGUAAAUUCUUGGGUAAAUCGUUCUGCUUAACAGAACGAAUUCCGAGGAGACUGCCGGACUUGGGACCGGGGGAGGCUAGAGGUACUCUUGGGGUAGGGGUGAAAUCCUAUAAUCCCAUGAGGACCACCAGUGGCGAAGGCGUCUAGCUAGAACGGAUCCGACGGUAAGGGACGAAGCCUUGGGGCACAAACGGGAUUAGAUACCCCGGUAGUCCAAGGUGUAAACGCUGUAGACUUGGUGUUGGGGGUUCCAUGAGAGCGCCCAGUGCCGGAGAGAAGUUGUUAAGUCUACUACCUGGGGAGUACGCUCGCAAGAGUGAAACUUAAAGGAA
Molecule: ribosomal RNA, 862 nt
Filed under: uncultured Thermoplasmatales archaeon
Lineage: Archaea; Methanobacteriati; Thermoplasmatota; Thermoplasmata; Thermoplasmatales
Description: bacterial SSU rRNA
Rfam family: Archaeal small subunit ribosomal RNA
Source: RNAcentral